Molecule: long non-coding RNA, 725 nt
Filed under: Fukomys damarensis (Damara mole-rat)
Lineage: Eukaryota; Metazoa; Chordata; Mammalia; Rodentia; Bathyergidae
Description: lncRNA (ENSFDAG00000027966.1)
Source: RNAcentral
UGGAAGUUGAGCAGGGCUCCCUGUCCCUGCUCUGUCCUCUGCUCACUGUGCCUUCCUGAAGCCUGAUUCCCCUUCAAUUCAGCCAGGGAGACCAGGGCUCUCUGGGUUGCAGUUUCCAGAUUGUAGGCCCCAGGGCUGUCCCUGUAGCCAGGCAACACUGAUACGAUUUAAGCUGGUUUGAUCACCCAAAAAACAACAAAUGCGCCAGCUGAUUCCAUUUCUCCAGUCUUAGAGCAGGAAAUGUCUGCCGUUACCAGGCAACGGCUGGGUGUGCAUCGUCUGAGGCAGGAGCCCGUCCGCACCGCCCCUCUCAUCCCCCACCCCUAACCCACGGAGGUGCUGACCUGCGGCUGAGCAGGCCACGUCCCUGGACAUGAGCCAAGCAUGUGGGCUGCAGGCUGGGCAGUGUCUCUUCUCCCCCUGCACUUCUCUCCACUCGGAGCAGAGCGCCACCCCUUGUGGUCCCUGGGGAGGCAUGUCCCCACAUUGUGCAUUUCUUACUGACCUUUAUGGAGAGCUGCAGCUUGCAGAGCCAGGAUCCUUUGGAGGCCGGCAGAGGUCAAGUGGAGCCCGUCUGGGAGGGCUGCUGCUCCUCCUGCUUGGAUUCCUGUUCCCUUGCCUGUCAUGGCCGCCAUCUUGUCUAGCAGAUUGUAGGGCUAACAGCCCCCUUCCAUGAGCUCUUCCACCAUCCACCCAUUGCGUCUUCCUGGGGACAUGUCUGAUGA